UUGACCUCGGAUCAGGUAGGACUACCCGCUGAAAUUAAGCAUAUCAAUAAGCGGAGGAAAAGAAACCAACAGGGAUUGCCCCAGUAACGGCGAGUGAGCGGCAACAGCUCAAAUUUGAAUCUGGCCCCCAGGGCCCGAGUUGUAAUUUGUAGAGGAUGCUUUUGGCGCGGUGCCUUCCGAGUUCCCUGGAACGGGACGCAUAGAGGGUGAGAGCCCCGUCUGGUCGGACACCAAGCCUCUGUAAAGCUCCUUCGACGAGUCGAGUAGUUUGGGAAUGCUGCUCAAAAUGGGAGGUAUAUGUCUUCUAAAGCUAAAUAUUGGCCAGAGACCGAUAGCGCACAAGUAGAGUGAUCGAAAGAUGAAAAGCACUUUGAAAAGAGGGUUAAACAGUACGUGAAAUUGUUGAAAGGGAAGCGCCUGUGACCAGACUUGGGCCCGGUGAAUCACCCAGCGUUUCGCUGGUGCACUUUGCCGGGCACAGGCCAGCAUCAGUUUGGCGCGGGGGACAAAGGCUGUGGGAAUGUGGUCCCCCGGGAGUGUUAUAGCCCACUGCGAAUACCCUGCGCCGGACUGAGGUACGCGCUCCGCAAGGAUGCUGGCGUAAUGGUCAUCAGCGACCCGUCUUGAAACACGGACCAAGGAGUCGUCUUCGUAUGCGAGUGUCGGGUGUCAAACCCCUACGCGUAAUGAAAGUGAACGCAGGUGAGAGCUUCGGCGCAUCAUCGACCGAUCCUGAUGUUCUCGGAUGGAUUUGAGUAAGAGCAUACGGGGCCGGACCCGAAAGAAGGUGAACUAUGCCUGUAUAGGGUGAAGCCAGAGGAAACUCUGGUGGAGGCUCGCGCGGUUCUGACGUGCGAAUCGAUCGUCAAAUAUGGGCAUGGGGGCGAAA
RNAcentral lists this ribosomal RNA (889 nucleotides) under Trichoderma reesei. Its description in RNAcentral is "partial large subunit ribosomal RNA". It matches the Rfam family "Eukaryotic large subunit ribosomal RNA", at positions 1 to 928 of the family's 3401-position model. Lineage: Eukaryota; Fungi; Ascomycota; Sordariomycetes; Hypocreales; Hypocreaceae. The record is from RNAcentral.